Molecule: ribosomal RNA, 921 nt
Filed under: Triticum aestivum (bread wheat)
Lineage: Eukaryota; Viridiplantae; Streptophyta; Magnoliopsida; Poales; Poaceae
Description: partial small subunit ribosomal RNA
Source: RNAcentral
GAACAAGCGAGUAUAAAAGGGUAUGCAGGCCUCGACACACUGAGCAGAUCAACGAGCGAGGCCAAGCAACGCAUACCACUGCUUCACUUACUCGAUCGGCCAAAGCAAGCAAGUGAGGUGAUCAUGGGCGGCGGGCACGACAUGCACGGCGGACACAACGGCGGCGUGAAGGGCUUCGUGUCCAGCCUCGUCGGCGGCGGCAAAAGCCACGGGUACGGCGGCCAGGGGCACGGCUGCGACCAGGGCUACGGCGGCCACGGGCAGCAGCAGCAGCACGGCUACGGCGGCCACGUGCAGCAGCACGGCUACGGCGGCCAUGGGCAGCAGCAGGGGUACGGCGGCCACGGGCAGCACGGGUACCCUCCGCCCGCCGCCGCGGCUUGCCCCCCGUACGGCGGCUACCCGGCGCAAGGCUACGCGCCGGCGGCUUACCCCGCGCAGCCCGCGCCACACCACGGUGGGCACAUGGGAUCGUACCACACCGGGCACGGCGGCGGGCACGGGCACGGCUACUCCGGCGGGAAGCACAUGGGCGGCGGGAAGCACGGCGGCAGGAAGUGGAAGUGAAGUGGCCGAUAGCUGCCGCCGGUCGGUCGCCCGCGCGCUCACGUACGCACCUGCUGCGUGCCUUAGCUAAGUAUAACCGUACCAUGGAUGCUCCGUAUGUAUACGUACGUAAAUAAAGGGCAACGUACGCGCCACGCGCGUGUGCGUACGUUAGCUUAUCGCCUGAGCUGGUGGUUCUGUGUAGUGAUGCUGUGAGUGUGGUGUGUGUGACGACCCAGUACAAAAUAAAGCCUACAGCUCGUACUAUAUGUACCGAGCAAUACUGUUGCACCGUGUCAUGUGUCGUGUAUAUGAUCCGAGUGUACUACAGUCUACAGCUCACAAACAAAAUAAAUGCUGCCUGCUAAAAUCCUG